Molecule: ribosomal RNA, 492 nt
Filed under: uncultured bacterium
Lineage: Bacteria
Description: partial 16S ribosomal RNA
Rfam family: Bacterial small subunit ribosomal RNA
Source: RNAcentral
AGUGAACGCUGGCGGUAGGCCUAACACAUGCAAGUCGAACGGCAGCACAGUAAGAGCUUGCUCUUACGGGUGGCGAGUGGCGGACGGGUGAGGAAUACAUCGGAAUCUACUUUUUCGUGGGGGAUAACGUAGGGAAACUUACGCUAAUACCGAAUACAUCCUACGGGUGAAAGCAGGGGUUCUUCGGACCUUGCGCGAUUGUAUGAGCCGAUGUCGGAUUAGCUAGUUGGCGGGGUAAAGGCCCACCAAGGCGACGAUCCGUAGCUGGUCUGAGAGGAUGAUCAGCCACACUGGAACUGAGACACGGUCCAGACUCCUACGGGAGGCAGCAGUGGGGAAUAUUGGACAAUGGGCGAAAGCCUGAUCCAGCCAUACCGCGUGGGUGAAGAAGGCCUUCGGGUUGUAAAGCCCUUUUGUUGGGAAAGAAAAGCAGCAGGUUAAUACCCCGCUGUUCUGACGGUACCCAAAGAAUAAGCACCGGCUAACUUCGUG